CAGUCGCCGCGGUAAUACAGAGGAUGCAAGCGUUAUCCGGAAUGAUUGGGCGUAAAGCGUCUGUAGGUGGCUUUUCAAGUCCGCCGUCAAAUCCCAGGGCUCAACCCUGGACAGGCGGUGGAAACUACCGAGCUGGAGUACGGUAGGGGCAGAGGGAAUCUCCGGUGGAGCGGUGAAAUGCGUUGAGAUCGGAAAGAACACCAACGGCGAAAGCACUCUGCUGGGCCGACACUGACACUGAGAGACGAAAGCUAGGGGAGCAAAUGGGAUUAGAUACCCCCGUAGUCCCUGUCUCUUAUAA
RNAcentral lists this ribosomal RNA (301 nucleotides) under uncultured bacterium. RNAcentral's name for it is "partial 16S ribosomal RNA". It matches the Rfam family "Bacterial small subunit ribosomal RNA", at positions 509 to 809 of the family's 1533-position model. The record is from RNAcentral.